ACUUUUUAAGUUGUUAAUACACAUUACAAUCAUGGAGUCGAGAGAUAUAAUAGAAUGAACUAUCCCUCGUGUAUGUAUUAAUUACAUAAGAGUACAGUAAUCACUUAAAGGCGAGAACAUUAAUCGUCAGUGAAACUAUUCAAAGACACCUCACACAAUUUCAUCAACCCAAUCAAAUACCUCAUUCAUAUGCCAAAGGUCAACAUACAAUGAUGAUUGGAUAACACCUCACAAAAUUUCAUCAACCCAAUCAAAUACCUCAUUCAUAUGCCAAAGAUCAACAUACAAAAUGAAAAUCCGAGGAGAAAACUACCCACUCUGCAGUCAAAAUUGGUGAACAAUAACAUAUAAUGAGUACAUAAUACCAGAAAUAAAUACUAGAUCAUCAUAUAAAACGAUCGACGAAACAGUAGGCAUUCUGCUGAUACCCUAUCAUCUGUUCACCGAGACAUCAACCUCUAAUAAUCAUGUCAGAUGUUAAUGAGAUAAAUGACCCAGAGGCUGUUUCCGUGAUCAUCAUUUAGCACCUAGGAGGAAGAGCGGAGCAUCUGUUAACAUCAAGGUGCCAAUAGAAAGAGGUAAGGAAGGAUCAUCGACGCAACCUGUUCUGGUU
Molecule: long non-coding RNA, 613 nt
Filed under: Nicotiana benthamiana
Lineage: Eukaryota; Viridiplantae; Streptophyta; Magnoliopsida; Solanales; Solanaceae
Description: long non-coding RNA (NBEN_LNC040735)
Source: RNAcentral